GGGAGCUGAUCAGUGAAGGCAAUCAUUCCAUGUGCAGCCAAUUAGAGCUAGCAUGCGCCAAUCAACACAUCAGUGGGUGGAACAGUGGGUCACUCUCUGUGAUGCCAUGUGUAGAACUGCUGUCUCAUCCCUAAAUCACCACUUGGCUACAUGUAACUUCAACCAACAGCUUUGAGAAGUCUCUCCAUGGCGUCUUCUGUGGCCACGUCAAGAGGAAGCUCUCCUUCACUGUUCACCGUUCCGACAUGGGCACCAUGCUCUAUCAGCCACAGGACGCUGCAGCGUGCAGAGGAGUCCAGCCCUCGUUGUCCCCUCUGUUGACAUCACUCCCGCUCUCCACCAGAAACUGCACCAUCUCAGCAUUUUCAUCAAUGCAGGCC
Long non-coding RNA from Xiphias gladius (swordfish), 380 nucleotides. RefSeq lists it as uncharacterized. The record is from RefSeq and is a predicted model, not a curated record. NCBI's taxonomy places the organism in Eukaryota, Metazoa, Chordata, Actinopteri, Istiophoriformes, Xiphiidae. The transcript is spliced from 3 exons.